This 74-nucleotide transfer RNA is filed under the name Candidatus Nitrobium versatile. Its description in RNAcentral is "tRNA-Arg". It matches the Rfam family "tRNA". From Rfam's summary of the family: Transfer RNA (tRNA) molecules are approximately 80 nucleotides in length. Their secondary structure includes four short double-helical elements and three loops (D, anti-codon, and T loops). The record is from RNAcentral. Lineage: Bacteria; Pseudomonadati; Nitrospirota; Nitrospiria; Nitrospirales; Nitrospiraceae.
GCCCCCUUAGCUCAGCAGGAUAGAGCACAGGUUUCCUAAACCUGGGGCCAGAGGUUCGAAUCCUCUAGGGGGCA